This 220-nucleotide unclassified non-coding RNA is filed under the name Stutzerimonas xanthomarina DSM 18231. RNAcentral describes it as "Pseudomonas xanthomarina DSM 18231 Pseudomonas sRNA P29". The record is from RNAcentral. Lineage: Bacteria; Pseudomonadati; Pseudomonadota; Gammaproteobacteria; Pseudomonadales; Pseudomonadaceae.
AAGCACUAGGGGGAGCCGAAGCUCCCCCUUUAAAUGAUGUCGCGUGCUUUGUUGUUAUUAGUAUUUCGGGCGUGUUGUUUUUGUUUGAUCACCCGUUCCCUUCAGCUAUCGCGUCCAGGAGUCGCUCCUACGUUGGGAGCAAAGAGCAAACGGAUUUCUUUGGUCGCUGAUUUACCAUCGAUCAUUCGAUCCAACCAGUUCAGGCGCUGCUUAUGCAGUU